UAAUUAUCAAGCCUAAGCCUAAGCCUAAGCCUAAGCCUAAGCCUAAGCCUAAGCCUAAGCCUAAGCCUAAGCCUAAGCCUAAGCCUAAGCCUAAGCCUAAGCC
This 103-nucleotide non-coding RNA is filed under the name Brugia malayi. Lineage: Eukaryota; Metazoa; Nematoda; Chromadorea; Rhabditida; Onchocercidae. The record is from RNAcentral.